CUUACCUGCCCUCCCAUAGUAACACUGCUGUCCAUUAAAGCAGCAGUUGAUAGCUUCACACUCAGCACCAUUGAUCACAGGUGGUCCACAUUGGAUCUGCUCAUAAUCAGCUACAGCACAUUUAUCAAGGGGCUCUGCCUGCACCACUGGCUUCUGAUGCUGAAACUGCUGGUUAGUUUUUUGUUGAACUGGCUUCUGAAGCUGAAACUGCUGGUUAGUUUUUUGUUGAACUGGCUUCUGAAGCUGAAACUGCUGGUUAGUUUGUUGUUGAACUGGCUUCUGAAGCUGAAUCUGCUGGUCAGUUUGCCGGAUUAUCAGAGCUUGAGGUUUCUGAGGCAUAUUGCUCCACUGUGGAACAGCAUGACAGAAACCACACACUGCCAAAAUCUGAACCAAACACCAACUUCCAGCCAUUGUUCAACAGCUUAGCACAAAAUGGAGAUGCUGCCCUUUGAUCUUUUUAUACUCUACAGGUUUCAGCUAAUUCAAGAUAGUCCCACCCACCUUCAUUAACCCUCAUGAUUCUCCAGACUUGCAUGAGUUGGCGCUUAUGCAGAGUGAUUCUUGAACGCUGUGUCCCAGACUGAAGUGUACGGAGCCCCGCAUAUGACAUGCAAGAAAAAAUAAAUAAAUUGUGCGCACGAUUUACUAAUUCGUUCCCUCAAUGUACUAAAAAGUGCACACGAUUACUAUUGCAUUCCCUCGAUUUACU
Molecule: long non-coding RNA, 712 nt
Organism: Cyprinus carpio carpio
Lineage: Eukaryota; Metazoa; Chordata; Actinopteri; Cypriniformes; Cyprinidae
Source: Ensembl